CCCCCGCCGACCUGGAUCCAGUGGGAGCGGGAAGGGAGGCGCUAACCAUUCCCCUCCCAUUCCACCCCUCGCGGCCCCAAAUUCCGCGAGUCAGGUGACCCGGCCCCGGGCUCUGGCCGGGACCUGCGGGGGGUGCUCUCCGCCCUCCAGCCCCCGGCGCAUCUCCCCGGCCCGCGCGUCCCGGCUGUUCGUGGCUUGCUUUUAGUCUCCAGGGAUCGUGGGACCCUUCUCCGCGGAUCUGUUUCAUCCUCUUAACCUGAAGGAGUCAGCAGAGAUUUCUCCAAGGGUAAGAGGCUACUACAAUAUUCUUCUCAGUGAGGUUGGGCACCUGCCGAGGAAACGAGGCUAAGAUCUUUGGCAAUAAAUACAUUCCGAAGACCUGCAUCAGUGCCCUGCUUGCAGAGUGUGGCAGAGAAGCUAAGCAUCUCAAACUCGGCAUUACAGACCUGAGAAGGCUGUAAGACUCUCUGGUCCAUCAUCACACGGGAGGAAUAUAAAUCCUCAGAGCUGUGCUGGGCAGCAUGUUAGCUGCUAGCCACACAUGGCUGCUGGACACUUGAAAUGUUGCUAGUCUGAAUUGUGCUGUGCUGUAAAUGCAAUUCACACCAGAUUUCAAAGAGUGCAGAAACUGAGUUUCAAGUAGAUCCAGCAACUUGCCCAAGUCGUAAAACCAGAAAGAGUGGAGCCGAGAAUCAAAGCUUGGAUGCCUGACCAGAGUGGACCUUUGAAACACUCCUCUGUAUAUUGUCUUCAGGCUGCCUGUAUUUACAAACUCUGAUAUUGACCUCAUUACUUCUCCCCGUUCUGCAGGCAGAAGACUGCUAUGAGAGCACUUAGGACCCAAGCGACAUCAGCCUUGGAACAGGCAAAUAAAAAUGGAAAGCUAAUCUUGGUGGCCUUCUCUUCUUCAAAAGGACAUUUUUAAGAUCCAAAUAGCCAUCAGUAUGGCCAAGUUGGUUGUUCGGCUAUGCAUAUCAGAAAUUCCAUAAAAUAUUCUCCAAUUACGGUGCUGGAGGAGGGUAUUAUGAGGAGUUCAUGAACAUCAAGAAGGCAGUUAAUGGGUUAUCAGAAGACUAAGAGAAGUGGUUUCCACAAAGCACAGAGUCAGAAGCAAUAAUGUGGUGUUUGGAGCCACAAGUACACCAGGUGCAGCUUUUCUUGCUUCCUCUACAGUGGAUCACAAUCUUGGCAGCCCAUUUAGAAUCACCUGCUUUUAAAAGUCACCAACUGCCUUGGCCCCAUACCCUAGGAUACUUACUAAAGUGGUCUGGUGUGGGGCCCAAGCAUUGGUAUUUUACAGUCUUUCCCUAGAUCAUCAUUAAAUGGGGCCACUGCUUUAUUGGUUGUCCCAGCCAUGUCAGAGCAUCUGGCUCUUGACUUAGCAUUGCAAGCAGAGGGAAAUUAGGUAAAAAGGGUGGGGUGGUUCUUGCCAUGGACCUUGCAAAAGUUGAUGCUCCAGAAAGAUUUCUUGACAGAGUGAUUCUAAACUGAGUUGCUAUUUUUGUUGGUAUCUCUCUGGUACAUUUGUUUUCUAUUAUGGAGUUAAACCUGCCCUCUGAGAUUCCUGUUUUCUUCAUUGAGGUCAAUUUCUGCUUAUGAGAUAUUUUGUGUUCUUUCUUAUCCAAAUAGUGCACCGGUAGUAAAUCUGUGUACUACUUUUGCUGAUGAAUUAUUUCAAAUCUAUUAAUGGUUUCUUGUCUAUGUUUUUCUUUUCCUUUUUUUUUUUGAGAUGGAG
Molecule: long non-coding RNA, 1735 nt
Filed under: Homo sapiens (human)
Lineage: Eukaryota; Metazoa; Chordata; Mammalia; Primates; Hominidae
Description: HSALNT0325990
Source: RNAcentral